RNAcentral lists this ribosomal RNA (150 nucleotides) under Salmonella sp. RNAcentral describes it as "partial 16S ribosomal RNA". It matches the Rfam family "Bacterial small subunit ribosomal RNA", at positions 1230 to 1378 of the family's 1533-position model. The record is from RNAcentral. Lineage: Bacteria; Pseudomonadati; Pseudomonadota; Gammaproteobacteria; Enterobacterales; Enterobacteriaceae.
AUGGCGCAUACAAAGAGAAGCGACCUCGCGAGAGCAAGCGGACCUCAUAAAGUGUGUCGUAGUCCGGAUUGGAGUCUGCAACUCGACUCCAUGAAGUCGGAAUCGCUAGUAAUCGUGGAUCAGAAUGCCACGGUGAAUAUGUUGUCCGGG